AGUCGCGUAGCUCAGUGGUAGAGCAUCUCCUUGACGUGGAGAGGGUCUAGGGUUCGAAUCCCUACGUGACUACCA
Molecule: transfer RNA, 75 nt
Filed under: Pseudomonadota bacterium
Lineage: Bacteria; Pseudomonadati; Pseudomonadota
Description: Proteobacteria bacterium (wastewater metagenome) tRNA-Val
Rfam family: tRNA
About the family: Transfer RNA (tRNA) molecules are approximately 80 nucleotides in length. Their secondary structure includes four short double-helical elements and three loops (D, anti-codon, and T loops).
Source: RNAcentral